CGCCAACGGAUUCUUACAUUUGCUGCCAAGAGGUAUGCUAGUGCAAUAGAGAGAAAUCCGGAAGACUAUGAUGCACUGUACAAUUGGGCAUUGGUUCUUCAGGAAAGUGCAGAUAAUGUUAGUCCAGAUUCUACCUCACCUUCUAAAGAUGCUUUGCUUGAGGAGGCCUGUAAAAAAUAUGAUGAAGCUACCUGCCUCUGUCCUACACUUCAUGAUGCUUUUUACAAUUGGGCUAUAGCAAUCUCUGAUCGUGCAAAAAUGCGUGGUCGUACAAAGGAGGCUGAAGAACUAUGGAAGCAGGCGACAAAAAAUUAUGAAAAAGCUGUCCAACUUAACUGGAACAGUCCCCAGGCACUUAACAAUUGGGGACUUGCUUUGCAGGAACUCAGUGCAAUUGUUCCUGCACGCGAAAAGCAAACA
RNAcentral lists this unclassified non-coding RNA (420 nucleotides) under Hevea brasiliensis (rubber tree). The record is from RNAcentral. Lineage: Eukaryota; Viridiplantae; Streptophyta; Magnoliopsida; Malpighiales; Euphorbiaceae.